RNAcentral lists this unclassified non-coding RNA (273 nucleotides) under uncultured Marasmius. RNAcentral describes it as "sequence contains ITS2". The record is from RNAcentral. Lineage: Eukaryota; Fungi; Basidiomycota; Agaricomycetes; Agaricales; Tricholomataceae.
AAUUCUCAACCUCAAAAGCUUUCUUUGUUUCUGAGGCUUGGAUGUGGAGGUUUUGCUGGCUUGCUUAGAGUCGGCUCCUCUCAAAUGCAUUAGUGGAAAACCGGUUGUAGUCCGCAUUUAGUGUGAUAAUUAUCUACGCUUCUGUGGCUGCAGCUCUGUAGUGUUCGCUUGGAAAGUGCACAUUAAGUUGCUCUUUCUGCUUUUUAAACUGACCUACAUGAGUUGGAUAUCUGCUUCGAACCGUCCUAAGUUACUGGACAACACUUGACUAUU